CGGAGGAAAAGAAACCAACAGGGAUUGCCCUAGUAACGGCGAGUGAACAGGCAAGAGCUCAGAUUUGAAAGGCACUUUUGUGCCGUUGUAUUCUGAAGUUAGGGUCCUGAGAAACGAUGCUUAAGUCUUCUGGAAAGGAGCGCCAUGGAGGGUGAUAGCCCCGUCUAGCAUUGACCUCAUAUAGGAUCUUAACAUGGAGUCGAGUUGUUUGGGAAUGCAGCUCAAAUGGGUGGUAUGCUCCAUCUAAAGCUAAAUAUCUGCGAGAGACCGAUAGUAAACAAGUACUGUGAGGGAAAGAUGAAAAGAACUUUGAAAAGAGAGUGAAAAAGUACGUGAAAUUGUUGAAAUGGAAGGGUAGGCCGCUAACCAUGUAGAGCCGUGUUUGGGGGGAAGAUAAAUGCUGUAGAAUGUAGCUCCUCGGAGUAUUAUAGAUGCAGUUCAUAUUCCCACCCGAGCGCGAGGAUCUCAGGUUCUACUAAAUGGUGGUCUACCACCCGUCUU
Molecule: ribosomal RNA, 501 nt
Filed under: Starmerella bacillaris
Lineage: Eukaryota; Fungi; Ascomycota; Dipodascomycetes; Dipodascales; Trichomonascaceae
Description: eukaryotic LSU rRNA
Rfam family: Eukaryotic large subunit ribosomal RNA
Source: RNAcentral